GAUAAACGCUGGCGGCGCACAUAAGACAUGCAAGUCGAACGGACUUAACUCAUUCUUUUAGAUUGAGAGCGGUUAGUGGCGGACUGGUGAGUAACACGUAAGCAACCUGCCUAUUAGAGGGGAAUAACAGUGAGAAAUCAUUGCUAAUACCGCAUAUGCUAACAGUAUCGCAUGAUACAGUUAGGAAAGGAGCAAUCCGCUAAUAGAUGGGCUUGCGUCUGAUUAGCUAGUUGGCAGGGUGAUAGCCUACCAAGGCGACGAUCGGUAGCCGACCUGAGAGGGUGAUCGGCCACAUUGGAACUGAGAUACGGUCCAA
RNAcentral lists this ribosomal RNA (316 nucleotides) under uncultured bacterium. RNAcentral's name for it is "bacterial SSU rRNA". It matches the Rfam family "Bacterial small subunit ribosomal RNA", at positions 28 to 334 of the family's 1533-position model. The record is from RNAcentral.